AGGUGAUGUGGUUGCAACAUCUGUUACCCCACGGAUUGCUAACGUUGAUUUAGCUGAUCUGGGUGGCUAGGCAGGUGCCCCAAUACUUCCCCACUAAAAGUUGUACACUCCAUCAAAGAGGAUGACCUUCCCCCAUAGAAGAAGGAAGGUAUCUAUGUGUGCAAGGAGUGUAGGCGGGGCUUUACAUGGAAGUCAAACCUCACUCAGCACCAAAGGACACACACAGGGGAGAAGCCCUAUGUCUUCAGGGUGUGUGGGUGGGCUUUACAUGGAAGUUAGAUCUCACC
Molecule: small nuclear RNA, 287 nt
Filed under: Dipodomys ordii (Ord's kangaroo rat)
Lineage: Eukaryota; Metazoa; Chordata; Mammalia; Rodentia; Heteromyidae
Description: 7SK RNA
Rfam family: 7SK RNA
About the family: 7SK was discovered as an abundant small nuclear RNA in the mid-70s but a possible function has only recently been suggested. Two independent studies have found that 7SK RNA binds the CDK9/cyclin T complex (known as elongation factor P-TEFb).
Source: Rfam by way of RNAcentral